RNAcentral lists this ribosomal RNA (500 nucleotides) under uncultured bacterium. RNAcentral describes it as "partial 16S ribosomal RNA". It matches the Rfam family "Bacterial small subunit ribosomal RNA", at positions 30 to 523 of the family's 1533-position model. The record is from RNAcentral.
AUUGAACGCUGGCGGCAUGCCUUACACAUGCAAGUCGAACGGCAGCACGGGAGCAAUCCUGGUGGCGAGUGGCGAACGGGUGAGUAAUAUAACGGAACGUGCCCAGUCGUGGGGGAUAACGUAGCGAAAGCUACGCUAAUACCGCAUACGAUCUACGGAUGAAAGCGGGGGAUCGCAAGACCUCGCGCGAUUGGAGCGGCCGAUAUCAGAUUAGCUAGUUGGUGAGGUAAAGGCUCACCAAGGCGACGAUCUGUAGCUGGUCUGAGAGGACGACCAGCCACACUGGAACUGAGACACGGUCCAGACUCCUACGGGAGGCAGCAGUGGGGAAUUUUGGACAAUGGGCGCAAGCCUGAUCCAGCAAUGCCGCGUGCAGGAUGAAGGCCUUCGGGUUGUAAACUGCUUUUGUACGGAGCGAAACGGUCUUCUCUAAUACAGGGGGCUAAUGACGGUACCGUAAGAAUAAGCACCGGCUAACUACGUGCCAGCCGCCGCAGUAA